Molecule: long non-coding RNA, 4119 nt
Organism: Hippocampus zosterae (dwarf seahorse)
Lineage: Eukaryota; Metazoa; Chordata; Actinopteri; Syngnathiformes; Syngnathidae
Exons: 3
Source: RefSeq, a predicted model, not a curated record
AAAAAAAACACAUUUAUUGAACGAUUAACAUUGAAUCAUCAAAGAGAACAACAAAUGUCCACUACAACAGACUGCUGAAUGGUUAAAACAGAAAUAAACAUGUUGGGACAGACCAAUAGUAUCGAUUUAUGGGAAAAAAAAACUAAAAUCUCCUAAAUUGACCAAAAUCUGACAUCAGUUCCUACCCAACAUAAUUGUGAUUUAAAUAAAUGGUUUUAUAGUAUAUAGCAACAUGACCAGCAAACUUUUCUGACACUUAAAAACAUGUCAUUGUUCCUCCUCCAUCCAAUAAAAUCCAAACUUUCCUCCCUACAGCAACACAGCUGCAACACUUGUGUUAAUAUUUGGAAUGGAGGAAAAGUGGUGGGUUUCAUAGCACAUCUGUGACAAACUACCUGCUGGGAAAGAUAAAAGUAGCGGUUUGGGAUCAAGAGGCAGGGCACCUCACUGGGAUUCUCAACCCAGUUUAACACCAGUUUGGGACAUUUUGAACUUUUAGACUGAAACUUUCACACACUUGGUAUUUUCUUACCAUUUUUGGGGGGGGCGGGGGGGGGGGGGUACCACACUACUAAUUUUUCACUGUAUUGAUUUGCUACAGGGCUCUGGUGAUGGAGCUGUUCUGAUGACUUUUGAAUAUUCAUCAGCGCGCAGUUGUCGGAAAGUGCCAUUUUUAGAUGGCGGUUGUUGGAAACAACGUAUCAUUUUAACAUAUACGGUACCUAAAAAUUCAUCUAACCUGCACCCUGUAAGCCUAGUAACUCUGAAAAUGUUUUUCUAUGAAUUAUGUAGAUGCAUAAGCAGUUCGCUUCCUAACAGUGAUGAGCAAUGUGGGGAAGAAAAAUGAACACAAAAACAUGCCUAAUUUUUUUUCCCAAACGUGAAAGUACCGGCUCACUGGUAUCUGUGCGGUAUUUGUGCGCCGUGGCAACACAGCUUUUGCUUAGUUGGGUCUUUCUUCAGCCCUUUUGUGAUGGAAUAAUAGAAGCUAUCCCAGCACGAGGAUCAGUUGGUUUGACUUCAGUUUUUACAAAGGGCGGCGGAUUUCAUUGACUUGCUUGGGUUUGUUUAAAUCAGCUCUUCUGCACGACAAUGGGACGGACAACCUCCGUCGGUUGAGCCGCGUGACUUCCGAGCGCUGACUUAAGCAGCAACCUGAGGCCGCAUGAAGGAGCAGCAAAUUCAUGUGUCUGCUUGUCUGUUGAGCUUGAAAGAGGAAGAAUAUUUUUUGGGAGAGGAGAGACAGAGAGAGAGAGAAAAAUAAUUAUCUGUGGCCAAAACGAAACUGGCAGAGAAUGCGAGGAGUGCAUGUGGCAGUGGGCUGCACUAUAAAGACAUCUGCUGAUUGCACAGUUUGGGGAGAGGACUGCUACAGAGACCAGCCUGGCAGGCAAACGUGCAAAAGAGAGACGGCAGGAACAAGAGACGCUCGCAGUCAGUCACCUUGAACAUGAGGACGUCAGAGUCCAGACAGACACAGUCAGACGCAUGGCCACAGUUUGGUACGCAGAUUCACAGAGGCAGGAUGAGCAAACAAGAUUGGUCCGAGCUGACCUUUAACUUUGGCCAAGGCUGACGGCGGCCUGGCGCCCGAUCAAUGAACUGAGGAAGCGGCCUGCGCGUCCCCUGCUCUGUUCACCCGAGCCAAGAAGGUGCGGACACUGCCAGAAGCAUCGCCACCAAGCAGAUCCGUCCAAAUUGACUCUCGGCCGUUCCGCAGGGUGACGGUUUGGACGCUGCGCUGCCCUGCCAUGUAGGAAAGGACGGCCAGAAGAGAGGAUCUUUCUCUGUGGCUAAAUAAACUACUUGUGAAUGUCACACUCAAUCUGAACAAGCCGGCUAAAAGAUGACCUGCACUUUAAGUAUGGCUUAACCAUUUGGAAAAAUAAUCUAAUUGUGAUUGUUUUCUCUCUCUCUGAAUAAUUCAAUUGUGAUUUCAUAUACAAUAUUUUUUUUCAAGAUUCUCCUCCCAUGUAUUUCUUUUUCACAAACACAAGCAAUAAAUUCAUCUGUAUUACAAUAAGCAACAUUAUUCUAAUUAGAUUUAUGCUAAGAUCAGAGUGCAGCAAAAAGAUCUUUUGGGCGGGUGGCUCAACGGGAAUUGGCACUGGCUCUGAUUUCAAACCAUUUUUAAAGAAAUUCAGAAUUGUAAAUUUUAUGUAGCCCAACUUGUGUUUGAAACACACUUGAGCUGCUUAAAAAAAUAUGCACACUAUCCAUGCUCCAGUAUACAGGUAUUGUGAUGCAAAACAAUAUUCAACAGCAUUUAUAAUUACAGAUGUAGGCUUGCCUGACAAUGAAUUGCAGACAGUCGCCAAAAUGCAAGUGAGAGCCUCAUGUCGUUUAUUGUUUUGUUUUGUUUUUUAAAUUGUAGCCUGGUCAGGCCAACUUCAGUGAACUUUAGCAUCAGUGGCCCAACACAGUCACGUGAUGACCCCUGGCCAUCAGGCCACCGUUAUUGUCGCACCCUGCAGAUGUUUUGGUCAUACAGGUUCGGCUUGCACUAAAGUAAAGGCAAGUGAACCAUAAAUUAUUAUGGCAAAAACAAAGAUUUAUUAAGAUCUAUUGGAGUUGAUAACUUAGUCAACACCUUGACUUCCAGUUGCUUAAGGGGUCACUAUGACAACUUUGGAAAAUUCCACCAAACAAGUGAGGCGUCGACAUUAAGUCAGUGAGAAAAUAAAUCAAAUUAUGACAAUAAUGCCAACAAAACUUCAUCUUCUCAUGAAACAAUGGUAUGAAUGUGGACUUCCCUUUUUAAGUUGCUUACCUGAAAGACAAAUUUUAAAAAAUAAAACAAAACAAAGAAACAAAUCACACAUACAUACAUUUUGAAAAUGUGUUUACAUUUAUAUAUGUAUAAACAAGAAAGCCUUCCAACUAACUGAAAUAAAAUUAAGCUUCUCCCCCCGCCCUAAAUCGUGAUUUGAAAAUUGCAUUCCACUAGAUUGCGAGUGCUGAUUUGAAUUCAAAUAAUUGUUUGUCUCAAGGUAUCAGUGUAACCGGCUGCGUUGUGUUUAUGAGUAUUGAUGACGCACAGCAGGAUUUCUUGUGUUGGUUGCGUUUAAUAGUCUUAAUCACAAAGCCCGGCGAAAACAGCAGAAAACAAUGUCCUCCUCGUCAAUUACAUUGAUAAAGCGUACCCGUCCCCAUGGACAGCACAAGAGAAAAAGGCCACACAAACACAACAUACCUGACGCAAACAACAGAAAACAAUGCCCUCCUCGUCAAUUACAUUGAUAAAGCGUCAACAACAGUAUGACGGCAAUACUCACAAUGAAGCCUAUGAAAUAACAUAAAAUAGUAAUGUAACCGCUUCCUAUACGAUGCCUGUGUGUUGAAGUCCUGUCAACACAUCACAAAACUUCCUCCUGUGUUUUUGGUAUGCACUUAAAACAUUACCACAGGGUAUAUACGGCGUAUAUUGUUUUAUCGUGUUCUCCCGCAUGCCUGAUGUGCUGCUCAGUGGGUGCUUUGCAAUCCAGAUGGUACGCUGCUGUAAACCUUUUAUCACAGCAGCCCCCCCCCCACACACACACACACAAAAAACAAGCUACAGCAACAUCAUAUUUAUGGUGCAUUUUAAUUGCGUCAACAUCAAUUCGGAUAAAAAUAUUCCUUCCAUAUGAGAAGUGAAGAGGGAUAGACAAAAAAAAAACAUCAUCCCAAAGCUUUAGCACAGAUUGUUCUUUUUAUUAUCAUUAACAGUAAUGUGAUGCUGAGGCCCCAUGUGACCCCCUCAUAGCGGCACCUCAUUUCCAAAGUCAUUCAUUAGAACAAACAGAAGGCGGGCAGCGGAAAGACGGCGUGGGGAGUGAGAUGGAGAGAGGGAGAGGGAGAGACACGAGUAUAAAACAAAUGAGAUUGUUCUUAUUGGAGGAAGCACUUUGAAAAAAAUAAAAAUAAAAUAAGAAAAAAAAAACAAUCCCCAAAAGUGUGAUAUUUGGAGAUGUCACGCCGAGCUCGUGAUCCAGUUGUUGGUUUUGUGCUUGGAAGUGUAAUCACAGUUACACUUACUGUCCACUUUGGAUUUCGAGGCCCACGGGGAGUCUUGGAAAAUGGCUCUGGUUUGUUAGGAUUGUGAUUGUCCAAGCAAAAAAAACAACAAAAAAAGAAAAA